GCCCACGUGGUGGAAUUGGUAGACGCGCUAGCUUCAGGUGCUAGUGAUCGCAAGGUCGUGGAGGUUCGAGUCCUCUCGUGGGCACCA
Molecule: transfer RNA, 87 nt
Filed under: Micavibrio aeruginosavorus
Lineage: Bacteria; Pseudomonadati; Bdellovibrionota; Bdellovibrionia; Bdellovibrionales; Pseudobdellovibrionaceae
Also listed under: 1 other name
Description: tRNA-Leu
Rfam family: tRNA
About the family: Transfer RNA (tRNA) molecules are approximately 80 nucleotides in length. Their secondary structure includes four short double-helical elements and three loops (D, anti-codon, and T loops).
Source: RNAcentral